RNAcentral lists this non-coding RNA (67 nucleotides) under Pseudomonas sp. SJZ074. Lineage: Bacteria; Pseudomonadati; Pseudomonadota; Gammaproteobacteria; Pseudomonadales; Pseudomonadaceae. The record is from RNAcentral. RNAcentral also lists the same sequence under 1 other name.
UCUCGCUGUAGGUAGGCUAAGGCAUCAGCCGCAAAGCGGCUGAUGCCUUAGCCUACCUACAGCCAUU